GCAGGUGGAUCGCUGUUUUAGGUUUACACCUGUCCUGCUGCUCCUGGCUGAUACCUACCAGACAGAACCCAGGAAAGUGGGUCCGCAGCACUGACAUCACCAGUACCUCAGACACACACUGACAUGCACACUGAGAGCCCUAUGUGAGGGUGGGGUCACCCCUGUCAGACCACAGAGGCCUGUGUGAGGCUGGGGUCACCCCUGUCAGACCACAGAGGCCUGAGUGAGGCUGGGGUCACCCCUGUCAGACCACAGAGGCCUGAGUGAGGCUGGGGUCACCCCUGUCAGACCACAGAGGCCUGAGUGAGGCUGGGGUCACCCCUGUCAGACCACAGAGGCCUGAGUGAGGCUGG
Molecule: long non-coding RNA, 353 nt
Organism: Oncorhynchus tshawytscha (Chinook salmon)
Lineage: Eukaryota; Metazoa; Chordata; Actinopteri; Salmoniformes; Salmonidae
Source: Ensembl